GACGAACGCUGGCGGCGUGCUUAACACAUGCAAGUCGAACGGUGAAGGGAAGCUUGCUUCCCGGAUCAGUGGCGAACGGGUGAGUAACACGUGGGCAAUCUGCCCCCAGACUUUGGGAUAACUACUCGAAAGAGUAGCUAAUACCGAAUAUUCAGCCUUGCAGGCAUCUGCGAGGCUGGAAAGUUUCUCGGUCUGGGAUGAGCCCGCGGCCUAUCAGCUAGUUGGUGAGGUAAUGGCUCACCAAGGCGACGACGGGUAGCCGGCCUGAGAGGCGACCGGCCACACUGGGACUGAGACACGGCCCAGACUCCUACGGGAGGCAGCAGUGGGGAAUAUUGCGCAAUGGGCGAAAGCCUGACGCAGCAACGCCGCGUGCGGGAUGAAGGCCUCGGUUGUAACG
This 400-nucleotide ribosomal RNA is filed under the name uncultured bacterium. RNAcentral's name for it is "bacterial SSU rRNA". It matches the Rfam family "Bacterial small subunit ribosomal RNA", at positions 28 to 430 of the family's 1533-position model. The record is from RNAcentral.